Molecule: transfer RNA, 71 nt
Filed under: Marmota monax (woodchuck)
Lineage: Eukaryota; Metazoa; Chordata; Mammalia; Rodentia; Sciuridae
Description: tRNA.Ala
Rfam family: tRNA (bases 1-63)
About the family: Transfer RNA (tRNA) molecules are approximately 80 nucleotides in length.
Source: RNAcentral
GGGGUUGUGGCUCAGUGGUAGAGCGCUUGCCUAGCAUGUAUGAAGUAACUGGGUUCAAUCCUUCAGCACCG